This 1372-nucleotide ribosomal RNA is filed under the name uncultured bacterium. RNAcentral describes it as "bacterial SSU rRNA". It matches the Rfam family "Bacterial small subunit ribosomal RNA", at positions 28 to 1381 of the family's 1533-position model. The record is from RNAcentral.
GAUGAACGCUGGCGGCGUGCCUAAUACAUGCAAGUCGAGCGAACGGACGAGAAGCUUGCUUCUCUGAUGUUAGCGGCGGACGGGUGAGUAACACGUGGAUAACCUACCUAUAAGACUGGGAUAACUUCGGGAAACCGGAGCUAAUACCGGAUAAUAUUUUGAACCGCAUGGUUCAAAAGUGAAAGACGGUCUUGCUGUCACUUAUAGAUGGAUCCGCGCUGCAUUAGCUAGUUGGUAAGGUAACGGCUUACCAAGGCAACGAUGCAUAGCCGACCUGAGAGGGUGAUCGGCCACACUGGAACUGAGACACGGUCCAGACUCCUACGGGAGGCAGCAGUAGGGAAUCUUCCGCAAUGGGCGAAAGCCUGACGGAGCAACGCCGCGUGAGUGAUGAAGGUCUUCGGAUCGUAAAACUCUGUUAUUAGGGAAGAACAUAUGUGUAAGUAACUGUGCACAUCUUGACGGUACCUAAUCAGAAAGCCACGGCUAACUACGUGCCAGCAGCCGCGGUAAUACGUAGGUGGCAAGCGUUAUCCGGAAUUAUUGGGCGUAAAGCGCGCGUAGGCGGUUUUUUAAGUCUGAUGUGAAAGCCCACGGCUCAACCGUGGAGGGUCAUUGGAAACUGGAAAACUUGAGUGCAGAAGAGGAAAGUGGAAUUCCAUGUGUAGCGGUGAAAUGCGCAGAGAUAUGGAGGAACACCAGUGGCGAAGGCGACUUUCUGGUCUGUAACUGACGCUGAUGUGCGAAAGCGUGGGGAUCAAACAGGAUUAGAUACCCUGGUAGUCCACGCCGUAAACGAUGAGUGCUAAGUGUUAGGGGGUUUCCGCCCCUUAGUGCUGCAGCUAACGCAUUAAGCACUCCGCCUGGGGAGUACGACCGCAAGGUUGAAACUCAAAGGAAUUGACGGGGACCCGCACAAGCGGUGGAGCAUGUGGUUUAAUUCGAAGCAACGCGAAGAACCUUACCAAAUCUUGGCAUCCUUUGACAACUCUAGAGAUAGAGCUUUCCCCUUCGGGGGACAAAGUGACAGGUGGUGCAUGGUUGUCGUCAGCUCGUGUCGUGAGAUGUUGGGUUAAGUCCCGCAACGAGCGCAACCCUUAAGCUUAGUUGCCAUCAUUAAGUUGGGCACUCUAAGUUGACUGCCGGUGACAAACCGGAGGAAGGUGGGGAUGACGUCAAAUCUUCAUGCCCCUUAUGAUUUGGGCUACACACGUGCUACAAUGGACAGUACAAAGGGCAGCGAAACCGCGAGGUCAAGCAAAUCCCAUAAAGUUGUUCUCAGUUCGGAUUGUAGUCUGCAACUCGACUACAUGAAGCUGGAAUCGCUAGUAAUCGUAGAUCAGCAUGCUACGGUGAAUACGUUCCCGGGUCU